GUGUCAGCAGCCGCGGUAAUACGAAGGGGGCUAGCGUUGUUCGGAGUUACUGGGCGUAAAGGGCGCGUAGGCGGCUGUCCAAGUCAGGUGUGAAAGCCCGGGGCUCAACCCCGGAAAUGCACUUGAGACUGGGCGGCUUGAGGACGGGAGAGGAUAGUGGAAUUCCCAGUGUAGAGGUGAAAUUCGUAGAUAUUGGGAAGAACACCGGUGGCGAAGGCGGCUAUCUGGACCGUUUCUGACGCUGAGGCGCGAAAGCGUGGGGAGCAAACAGGAUUAGAUACCCUGGUAGUCC
Molecule: ribosomal RNA, 292 nt
Filed under: uncultured bacterium
Lineage: Bacteria
Description: partial 16S ribosomal RNA
Rfam family: Bacterial small subunit ribosomal RNA
Source: RNAcentral